GCACCCCUUUUUUUUAUUUGCAAGAUUUCAGUUGGGCACUUUAGGGUGACUCCCGGUGACAAACCGGAGGAAGGGGGGAUGAGGUCAAAUCAUCAGCCCUUUAUGACCGGGGUACACACGUGUUACAAGGGACGGAAAAAAAGGCAGAGAAACCGGGAGGUUAAGCCAAUCCCACAAAUCUUUUUCAGUUCGGAUCGCAGUCUGCAACUCGACUGCGUGAAGCUGGAAUCGCUAGUAAUCGCGGAUCAGCAUGCCGCGGUGAAUACGUUCCCGGGCCUUGUACACCCCGCCCGGUCGACCACCCACGGGAGU
RNAcentral lists this ribosomal RNA (312 nucleotides) under Bacillus sp. MK2. RNAcentral's name for it is "partial 16S ribosomal RNA". It matches the Rfam family "Bacterial small subunit ribosomal RNA", at positions 1098 to 1415 of the family's 1533-position model. The record is from RNAcentral. Lineage: Bacteria; Bacillati; Bacillota; Bacilli; Caryophanales; Bacillaceae.